GAAUAUAGAGACAAAUCAUAUAUAAAAAGGUCUUCUAUUAGGGUAUUCUUUUAAAGGUUAGGAAAGUUGUAUGCGCAUGAACAUUAACAGAAAACAAAAAAAAAACUCACGGCAAAUCGUAUAGUUAUUUUCUUCUCUUGGAGAAAGUGGUUCCAGCUGGAGAACUUACCGCCUUACAAUCCCUUGCAAAAGAGGCAACCUUUCUUUCGUUCUCUACGGGUAAAGUUUGAAGUUACUUUUGGUUAUAAGAUGACUAGACAAUUAACCUUAAAAAUAUGUAUAUAAGUAUAUUAAAGAAUAUUCAGAUUUGUAGGUUAUAAUACUAAUCGUAGUUUUUGUAAAUUAAGCAACGAGAUUCGGCCUUUUCUCAUUUCAAGAUCCAAGGAAGGAGGCGAAGUGGCGAACUAACUAAUUGAUUUUUCCAAAUUAACAAAGACAACAAAAAAGUGAGGUAAAACGAAUCAACAUACUACUACUACUAAGAAUUUCCUUUGAGUGUACUUAAGGUUAGGUGCAGUGCACAAAAGAGAAAAUAAACAUUACAUUAGGUUUUCAUUUAGUGUGGGGUAAAAGUAAUAUGAAAUUGGUCUUGAUUUCUGCUUAAGAAAAACCCAACAAAAAUCAAAUAAUUAAAACAGGUAAGAUGAACGAGUCGUUAUCUUCCCGACUAAAAGUUUCACUAUAAUUUUUAAUUAAUAACUCACUUGUCGUCACACUGGAUCCCCUCGAAAUCAAAGACUUCAAAGUCGAUGAAACAAGAGAAGAUGCAUUUAUCAAUUUAAUCAUCGAUCUUUUAACCAAAAAAAAAUAUCACCAUCAAUAGUUCCACCAAUUGAAGUAUAUAAAACUAUAGUAUUGAAUUCCGUUUCCAUUCUUCACAGCUUGUCAUAACAAUAAGGCAACCGAUUGUAAAUUCUUGCUAUAAAAAAAACUUAACCUCUAUGAAAUUAAUAGUACGUAAUUAAAAAAAAAAACUAACUUCUAUGAAAUUAUUAGAAAUAUUUAAUAGUACUUAAUAAUAAAGAAAAAUCGGUGGCCUGAUAUCUCCGUCACCGUUUAAGUCGUCGCCUUUUCAGACACUAACACUGCAAGUGGAGGUGAGCGUAUACUUAACGGCGCUAUUUCCAACGCUAACUCCGGCGGCACUAUUCCCAGAGUUGAUAUACGCCGGACACCUAACGUAGAGAUGACGUGUCCCAGUGGUGUAAUCCCC
This 1213-nucleotide long non-coding RNA is filed under the name Eutrema salsugineum. Its description in RNAcentral is "long non-coding RNA (ESAL_LNC001075)". Lineage: Eukaryota; Viridiplantae; Streptophyta; Magnoliopsida; Brassicales; Brassicaceae. The record is from RNAcentral.